CUUGAAACACGGACCAAGGAGUUUAUCGUGUACGCAAGUCAUUGGGUGAAUAAAACCCAAAGGCGUAAUGAAAGUAAAAAGUUGAAUUAUAAUUAAGAAAAAAGGAAAGCAAUUUCUUUUUAUUUUUUCUUAUAUUCACUUUUAAGGGAAGAUAGAGAAUUUAUCUAUAUAUAAUUAUUUUAGUUUACUAUUGUAAUUAUUAUAUGAUAAUAUUUCUCGCACUCCCGGGGCGCUUGUUUCACGCAUUGCGUGUCAAUGCGCACCUAGAGCGUACACGCUGAUACCCGAAAGAUGGUGAACUAUGCCUGGCCAGGACGAAGCCAGGGGAAACCCUGGUGGAGGUCCGCAGCGAUUCUGACGUGCAAAUCGAUCGUCGGAGCUGGGUAUAGGGGCGAAAGACCAAUCGAACCAUCUAGUAGCUGGUUCCCUCUGAAGUUUCCCUCAGGAUA
This 449-nucleotide ribosomal RNA is filed under the name Acanthaspis sp. 2 CW-2009. RNAcentral describes it as "eukaryotic LSU rRNA". It matches the Rfam family "Eukaryotic large subunit ribosomal RNA", at positions 653 to 980 of the family's 3401-position model. The record is from RNAcentral. Lineage: Eukaryota; Metazoa; Arthropoda; Insecta; Hemiptera; Reduviidae.